CAUGCAGGCGGUCGUACGCGUUUUGUGUGACAGCGGGUGGCUUAACUACCCGAGUAUGCGAAAGACGGUAUGACUUGAGGGCUCGAAAGGGACACGGAAUUCCGGGUGGAGUGGUGAAAUGCGUAGAGAUCCGGAGGAACACCGAAGGCGAAGGCAGUGUCCUGGCGAGUGACUGACGCUGAGGUGCGAAAGCUAGGGGAGCGAACGGGAUUAGAUACCCCGGUAGUCCUAGCCGUAAACGAUGACCACCAGGUGUGGGAGGUAUCGACCCCUUCCGUGCCGGAGUUAACACACUAAGUGGUCCGCCUGGGGAGUACGGUCGCAAGAUUAAA
RNAcentral lists this ribosomal RNA (332 nucleotides) under uncultured bacterium. Its description in RNAcentral is "bacterial SSU rRNA". It matches the Rfam family "Bacterial small subunit ribosomal RNA", at positions 568 to 898 of the family's 1533-position model. The record is from RNAcentral.